This 496-nucleotide ribosomal RNA is filed under the name uncultured bacterium. RNAcentral describes it as "partial 16S ribosomal RNA". It matches the Rfam family "Bacterial small subunit ribosomal RNA", at positions 30 to 523 of the family's 1533-position model. The record is from RNAcentral.
AUUGAACGCUGGCGGAAUGCUUUACACAUGCAAGUCGAACGGUAGAGGGGGCAACCCCUCGAGAGUGGCGAACGGGUGAGUAAUAUAUCGGAACGUGCCCAGUCGUGGGGGAUAACGUAGCGAAAGUUACGCUAAUACCGCAUACGAUCUAAGGAUGAAAGCGGGGGAUCGCAAGACCUCGCGCGAUUGGAGCGGCCGAUAUCAGAUUAGGUAGUUGGUGGGGUAAAGGCUCACCAAGCCAACGAUCUGUAGCUGGUCUGAGAGGACGACCAGGCACACUGGAACUGAGACACGGUCCAGACUCCUACGGGAGGCAGCAGUGGGGAAUUUUGGACUAUGGACGCAAGUCUGAUCCAGCCAUUCCGCGUGCAGGAUGAAGGCCCUCGGGUUGUAAACUGCUUUUGUACGGAACGAAAAGGUCUCUCUUAAUACGGGGGGCUCAUGACGGUACCGUAAGAAUAAGCACCGGCUAACUACGUGCCAGCCGCCGCGGUAA